AAGUUUGGCUGCGAAAUGUUGUAAAAUGAGGAAAAUAUAGCCCUACGAAAUUUGCAAAUUUUGUAUUAGGCUAAUUUGUAUUCGGCAAGGGAAAAUGCACCACUUUUCGACCCAAUUGUGGUGCAUUUUCCCGCGCGUAAUAUAAGUUAAUACAAAAUUUGCAAAUUUCGCAGGGCUAUAUUUUACGCACUUUACAACGUUUCGCAACCAAACUU
Paramuricea clavata is the source of this 215-nucleotide non-coding RNA. The record is from the annotation of a GenBank genome assembly. Lineage: Eukaryota; Metazoa; Cnidaria; Anthozoa; Malacalcyonacea; Plexauridae.